This 257-nucleotide ribosomal RNA is filed under the name uncultured prokaryote. RNAcentral describes it as "partial 16S ribosomal RNA". It matches the Rfam family "Bacterial small subunit ribosomal RNA", at positions 524 to 780 of the family's 1533-position model. The record is from RNAcentral.
UACGUAGGUGGCAAGCGUUAUCCGGAAUUAUUGGGCGUAGAGAGCGCGCAGGUGGUUGAUUAAGUCUGAUGUGAAAGCCCACGGCUUGACCGUGGAGGGUCAUUGGAAACUGGUCGACUUGAGUGCAGAAGAGGGAAGUGGAAUUCCAUGUGUAGCGGUGAAAUGCGUAGAGAUAUGGAGGAACACCAGUGGCGAAGGCGGCUUCCUGGUCUGUAACUGACACUGAGGCGCGAAAGCGUGGGGAGCAAACAGGAUUA